RNAcentral lists this non-coding RNA (578 nucleotides) under Pan troglodytes (chimpanzee). The record is from RNAcentral. Lineage: Eukaryota; Metazoa; Chordata; Mammalia; Primates; Hominidae.
GACUCAGAAGAGAUAAGAGUAGAGGCAGGGAUACUAGCUAAGAAGCUGUUGCAGCAAUGAAAGAAGAAAUGAUGAGAACCUAAACUAAGGCAAUACUAAUGGGAGCAAAGAGAAGUGAAGAGAUUUCACAGGUUUAUAAGAAGAAAGUGAUGAGAACACCAAAGACAGAAUAUAUGGUUCUUCUAGAAGAUCCACUUUCAAUUUUACUAAAGUGAAUGACCCACUUCGAUGAAAAGAAUAAUGACUUCUAAGGUCUCUUACAACUCUAAUGUUACAAUUCUAUUGUUCAUCUGGAAUUGCCUUUUGAAGACAGCACACCUGUGGCCUAAAACUUCCUUGGUGAACAUGUGAAAUAUUUUUUAAUGAAAGUCCAUUACAUAUAAAGCCAUACAACCCCAAACAUGCAGUGAUAAUGCUUAUAGCAAAGAAAAACCAAGUAAAGACACUAUCUACAUUUACCUACUCUGAUCCCAAUUGGCUGCAAACAGCAAAAGAAUCUUCCUGCCAUAAUGGUCUCGGUUUUCCAGCACCCCGGGGAAUCCAUCGAUCAGAGCCCUCUUAAUGCCGGGAUCAUCUGC